CCUACGGGUGGCUGCAGUGGGGAAUCUUGCACAAUGGGGGGAACCCUGAUGCAGCAACGCCGCGUGAGUGAAGAAGUAUUUCGGUAUGUAAAGCUCUAUCAGCAGGGAAGAAGAUGACGGUACCUGAGUAAGAAGCCCCGGCUAACUACGUGCCAGCAGCCGCGGUCUUACGUAGGGGGCAAGCGUUCUCCGGAUUUACUGGGUGUAGAGGGAGCGUAGACGGCGAGGCAAGUCUGGAGUGAAAGCCCGGGGCUCAACCCCGGGACUGCUUGGGAAACUGCCUGGCUGGAGUGCUGGAGAGGCAAGCGGAAUGCCUAGUGUAGCGGUGAAAUGCGUAGAUAUUAGGAAGAACACCAGUGGCGAAGGCGGCUUGCUGGACAGUAACUGACGUUGAGGCUCGAAAGCGUGGGGAGCAAACAGGAUUAGAUACCCUAGUAGUC
This 440-nucleotide ribosomal RNA is filed under the name uncultured bacterium. RNAcentral describes it as "partial 16S ribosomal RNA". It matches the Rfam family "Bacterial small subunit ribosomal RNA", at positions 338 to 795 of the family's 1533-position model. The record is from RNAcentral.